Molecule: non-coding RNA, 26 nt
Filed under: Mus musculus (house mouse)
Lineage: Eukaryota; Metazoa; Chordata; Mammalia; Rodentia; Muridae
Also listed under: 1 other name
Source: RNAcentral
UCAUUUUACCAUAUGGAAAGGUGGGA